Molecule: ribosomal RNA, 3846 nt
Filed under: Triticum aestivum (bread wheat)
Lineage: Eukaryota; Viridiplantae; Streptophyta; Magnoliopsida; Poales; Poaceae
Description: partial small subunit ribosomal RNA
Source: RNAcentral
AUGAGUGAGGGCGGCUCACACAUGCAGCCUCAGCUGGGGAACUCUCACACGGCGAACAGCGAGCAGCCUGAGCCGGCCACCAUGCCGAUGAACGGCAUGGCUGCUUCGAGGCCAGGCAAUGGCCAGACGGCAGAUGAAGCAGCCGCCAGCGGAGUGACGGAGGAUAUCGAGGCGGCCGGCAACAACAAUGGGCAAGGUCCGCCCAACAGGCCAGCAAGCCAUGAAUCCAGCAUCAAGGUUGAUUUCGAGUUCUUGUGGAGGUUGCGGAAGUAUCUGCUACUUCUGGCGGUGUUGGCCGUUGGUGUCACUUACAAUGCUGGGUUGAGCCCGCCGGGGGGAUUUCAGAUGGACAGACUUGACCGCCAUGCCGGUGAUCCUCUCCUCCCGCUUAGAUUCUUCCAGCGAUACCAAGCCUUCUUUUACUGCAACGCCACAGCCUUUGCUGCUUCUCUGGUCUUGAUCAUCUUGCUCCUGAGUAGGGGAGUGGCGAGCAAGCAUGUCUGGCUUCGCUCGAUGCAGUUUACCAUGAUACUGGAUCUUUUCAGUCUCAUGGGGGCAUAUGCCGCGGGGAGUUGCAGAGCACUAAGGUCUUCCGUUUACAUAUUGGUGCUGGUCUGUUCUGUUUUCGUCUAUGUUGUGGUUCAUAUCCUGUUGCUUAUGAGGGCAGUUCCACAGCCGUUAAAAGAUCAGGUGCAGAAAACCCAGGAUCUCAUUCUGAAGAAGCUGAAACGCAUGCUAAAAAAGGUGCCAUCUAUUUGCCCUGUCUCUGAUCCUGACAGGCAAAGGAGCAACCGAGAUUACGCAAGGGAGAUCGAGGAGGCUCGCAAGUUCAUAUUGAUGCUUGCAACUUUUGCUGCUACUAUCACAUACCAAGCUGGGAUAAGUCCACCUGGUGGCUUUUGGGGUGCAAAUAAUCCUGAACACCGUGCAGCCACUUUUGUUCUCCGCAAGCACAACCUCCUCCGCUUCAAUAUCUUCACGUGUUGCAAUGCGACCUCUUUUGUGGCGUCUUUGGUCACAGUCAUACUGCUUCUGAGCACGGAACUGAGCACGCAUGGGAUAAGGACUCAAGCGCUGUCUGUGUGCGUCGUGGCUGUUCUGCUGGGGCUCAUUGGUGCUUAUGCUUCAGGGAGCUGCAGGGAUGUUGCAACAUCGUUGUCAGUGAUACUCAUAAUUGCUGUGGUUCUAAUCUGUGUUCUGAUUCUUGUUAUUUGCCUUCAUUGCAAAGCUGUAACGGUGUGGGUGGAUGAGGAGCUGAAGCCAGCACUUGGCAAAAUGCUGAGGAUGCUGUCAUUGGGGCAAGAUGAUUCUCCAAGAGCUCACCAGCAAUGUACAGAUUGUCAGAGAAGGCACCAUCAAGAUACAGAGCUUGUUUCUCAGAGAAAUCACCAGCAAGAUACAGAUCUUGAUUCUCAGAGGAUUCACCAUCAAGAUACAGAGCUUGUUUCUCAGAGAAAUCACCAGCAAGAUACAGAUCUUGAUUCUCGGAGGAUUCACCAACAAGAUACAGAGCUUGACUCUCAGAGAAGUCAGCAGCAAGAUACAGCACUUGACUCUCAGAGGGUUCGCCAGCAAGAUACAGAGCUUGAUUCUCCGACAACUCACCAGCAAGCUACAGAGCAUGUAGUUCGAGAUACAGAAGUAGAAGGUGUCAUGUCGAAUUUGCAGUGCUACUCUGCUGACAGCGAUCUUGUAUCAACUGGAGAUAUGAGAUCUGUAUCAGCCAGUGAUUUGGAUAGCAUGGAGGACAUCAUGCCAACAACACUACAUCAAUCUCAUGAUCAGAGUGAACAUGCUGCAAUUAGAGUUGUAUGCUCAUCAUCAACAGAUGCCCUAACUACCGAGGAAGUUCCAUCGGACAACUUGGAAAUACAACCUGCUGGCAGUCAGCAGGUUGCAAUCCCCAUGGCACUAUCAUCAAGUGACGGUGGAAAUUCUAUCCAAGGUAUUUUACCGUUGCAGGGCUCGGUGGACGAAAAUGCAACAUCUGGUAACCUGAGGAUGGAUGCUGAUGAUCCGGCAAUGGGAUGUGAAUUACCCGACAGCCAUGGGGACAGCACAGAACAGCAUGGUCAGCAAAUGUCCAAUAACCCUACUAGUGCAGAUGAUCGUGAUGUUAGAUUAGAGAUCGACAACACUGCCAAUGAUCAAGCCCCACAGCAUCAGAGAUGUAUUAAAUGCAGCUGUAGAAAUCCAGAUGAUGCUUUUCUGAAGAAGUCACGCACUUACCUAUUGCUUCUUGCAAUUCUUGCCGUGUCUUUGACAUAUCAAGCUGGUUUAAAUCCACCAGGUGGCUUCUGGACAUCAAAUGCCACAAAGCACUCUGCUGGCGAUCCCAUUCUUGGGGACAGUGGUCGUGUCUGGACAUCAGGUGGCACUAAGCACUCUGCUGGUGAUCCCAUUCUUGAGGACAGUUAUCAUAAGAGAUACCUUGCCUUCUUUUAUUUCAAUGCCACUGCAUUUGCAGCCUCCCUUGUCAUGAUCCUUAUGCUCCUGAGCAGGAAGAUGAGCAACAAGGUUAUAAAACGCCGGGCACUGCAGACAGCAAUGAUAACCGAUUUGCUUGCUCUAAUGGGGGCCUUUGUUGUUGGGAGUUGCAGGGAGAAGACAAAAUCUAUUUACAUAUCAGUGUCGAUAUUUAUCGUGGUUGCAUAUGUCCUUCUCCAUGUUUUAGUGUUUAGGCAUAAUGGAUGGUUGAAAGUGUGUGUUACCCAGAGGAUGAAGUUUGCACCACCUCAGACAGAUAAUGAGUCAAGAGAUGCUAAGGAGAAGGACUUGGCGCGGAGGCGGAAUUUGCUCUUUAUUCUUGCAAUUCUGGCGGCAACUGUCACGUACCAAGCUGGCCUGAACCCGCCAGGAGGCAUUUGGCCUGAUGAGAACAGUAAGGGUGGCAAACCAGGCAAUCCAGUUCUUCAAGACAGCCACCCAGAGCGCUAUGAUGUUUUCUACUACUCCAAUGCUGUCUCAUUUGCGUCAUCUGUGGCUGUCAUCAUUCUUCUUGUUAAUAGGGAAUCAUGUGAGGAUGGAAUCAAGUCGUACGCAAUCCGUGCGUGCUUGGUAGCGGGUUUGCUGGGCCUCCUGAUUGCCUAUUCUGCAGGAACCUGCAGCAAAGCGAGACCGGUAAUAUAUCUUAUUGUCAUAGCCUCUGCAGCUCUAACAUGCCUUGUGAUUCAAGUACUUGUACUACAAGAUGCAUUAGAUGGGCCACUGACCAGGUUAAGGGGUCGGUUGCGGAAGAUUCUUCAUCUAGAGCCUGACUCUGAGACACCGCUGGAAAGUUCAGAUGAAGAAAACACGGAAAGAAAUGCUCAGGGGUCAGGCACCCUUAUUAGUGAGAAGAGGGAAAAGAAGAGACAGAAGUACUUGAUGCUUCUUUCGGUUCUUGCUGCAUCCAUUGCGUACCAAGCUGGUCUAAACCCGCCUGGUGGCUUCUGGCCUGAUGACACUCCCAAAAAUGGUUACAAGGCUGGCAACCCGGUACUUAAGGACAUAAACUCCUGGCGCUACAUGGUAUUCUAUGUCUUCAAUUCCAUCUCUUUCAUGUCAUCUAUUUCUGUAGUCAUGCUUCUGCUGAGUAAAUCUGUGAGACAGAAGAAGGUUCCGCUCCAAGCAUUGCACUUCAUCAUGAUACUGGACCUGUCGGCUCUGAUGACAGCUUAUGCAGCUGGAAGUUGCAGAAAGUUCAGGACUUCAAUAUUCAUCCUCGUGGUAGUAUGUUGUGUGCUGGUGUACCUUCUGUUUAUUAUUAUCUUGUCAAGUCGCAUAGCAAGAUGGCUGAAAAAACAGAAAAACAAGGUGGCUUCCUUGCUGCUGGAGCCUAGCCAUGCCGCUGCAACUUCAGCAUGA